RNAcentral lists this ribosomal RNA (2930 nucleotides) under Escherichia coli. Its description in RNAcentral is "bacterial LSU rRNA". It matches the Rfam family "Bacterial large subunit ribosomal RNA". The record is from RNAcentral. Lineage: Bacteria; Pseudomonadati; Pseudomonadota; Gammaproteobacteria; Enterobacterales; Enterobacteriaceae.
GGGUUGUGAGGUUAAGCGACUAAGCGUACACGGUGGAUGCCCUGGCAGUCAGAGGCGAUGAAGGACGUGCUAAUCUGCGAUAAGCGUCGGUAAGGUGAUAUGAACCGUUAUAACCGGCGAUUUCCGAAUGGGGAAACCCAGUGUGUUUCGACACACUAUCAUUAACUGAAUCCAUAGGUUAAUGAGGCGAACCGGGGGAACUGAAACAUCUAAGUACCCCGAGGAAAAGAAAUCAACCGAGAUUCCCCCAGUAGCGGCGAGCGAACGGGGAGGAGCCCAGAGCCUGAAUCAGUGUGUGUGUUAGUGGAAGCGUCUGGAAAGGCGCGCGAUACAGGGUGACAGCCCCGUACACAAAAAUGCACAUGCUGUGAGCUCGAUGAGUAGGGCGGGACACGUGGUAUCCUGUCUGAAUAUGGGGGGACCAUCCUCCAAGGCUAAAUACUCCUGACUGACCGAUAGUGAACCAGUACCGUGAGGGAAAGGCGAAAAGAACCCCGGCGAGGGGAGUGAAAAAGAACCUGAAACCGUGUACGUACAAGCAGUGGGAGCACGCUUAGGCGUGUGACUGCGUACCUUUUGUAUAAUGGGUCAGCGACUUAUAUUCUGUAGCAAGGUUAACCGAAUAGGGGAGCCGAAGGGAAACCGAGUCUUAACUGGGCGUUAAGUUGCAGGGUAUAGACCCGAAACCCGGUGAUCUAGCCAUGGGCAGGUUGAAGGUUGGGUAACACUAACUGGAGGACCGAACCGACUAAUGUUGAAAAAUUAGCGGAUGACUUGUGGCUGGGGGUGAAAGGCCAAUCAAACCGGGAGAUAGCUGGUUCUCCCCGAAAGCUAUUUAGGUAGCGCCUCGUGAAUUCAUCUCCGGGGGUAGAGCACUGUUUCGGCAAGGGGGUCAUCCCGACUUACCAACCCGAUGCAAACUGCGAAUACCGGAGAAUGUUAUCACGGGAGACACACGGCGGGUGCUAACGUCCGUCGUGAAGAGGGAAACAACCCAGACCGCCAGCUAAGGUCCCAAAGUCAUGGUUAAGUGGGAAACGAUGUGGGAAGGCCCAGACAGCCAGGAUGUUGGCUUAGAAGCAGCCAUCAUUUAAAGAAAGCGUAAUAGCUCACUGGUCGAGUCGGCCUGCGCGGAAGAUGUAACGGGGCUAAACCAUGCACCGAAGCUGCGGCAGCGACGCUUAUGCGUUGUUGGGUAGGGGAGCGUUCUGUAAGCCUGUGAAGGUGUGCUGUGAGGCAUGCUGGAGGUAUCAGAAGUGCGAAUGCUGACAUAAGUAACGAUAAAGCGGGUGAAAAGCCCGCUCGCCGGAAGACCAAGGGUUCCUGUCCAACGUUAAUCGGGGCAGGGUGAGUCGACCCCUAAGGCGAGGCCGAAAGGCGUAGUCGAUGGGAAACAGGUUAAUAUUCCUGUACUUGGUGUUACUGCGAAGGGGGGACGGAGAAGGCUAUGUUGGCCGGGCGACGGUUGUCCCGGUUUAAGCGUGUAGGCUGGUUUUCCAGGCAAAUCCGGAAAAUCAAGGCUGAGGCGUGAUGACGAGGCACUACGGUGCUGAAGCAACAAAUGCCCUGCUUCCAGGAAAAGCCUCUAAGCAUCAGGUAACAUCAAAUCGUACCCCAAACCGACACAGGUGGUCAGGUAGAGAAUACCAAGGCGCUUGAGAGAACUCGGGUGAAGGAACUAGGCAAAAUGGUGCCGUAACUUCGGGAGAAGGCACGCUGAUAUGUAGGUGAAGCGACUUGCUCGUGGAGCUGAAAUCAGUCGAAGAUACCAGCUGGCUGCAACUGUUUAUUAAAAACACAGCACUGUGCAAACACGAAAGUGGACGUAUACGGUGUGACGCCUGCCCGGUGCCGGAAGGUUAAUUGAUGGGGUCAGCGCAAGCGAAGCUCUUGAUCGAAGCCCCGGUAAACGGCGGCCGUAACUAUAACGGUCCUAAGGUAGCGAAAUUCCUUGUCGGGUAAGUUCCGACCUGCACGAAUGGCGUAAUGAUGGCCAGGCUGUCUCCACCCGAGACUCAGUGAAAUUGAACUCGCUGUGAAGAUGCAGUGUACCCGCGGCAAGACGGAAAGACCCCGUGAACCUUUACUAUAGCUUGACACUGAACAUUGAGCCUUGAUGUGUAGGAUAGGUGGGAGGCUUUGAAGUGUGGACGCCAGUCUGCAUGGAGCCGACCUUGAAAUACCACCCUUUAAUGUUUGAUGUUCUAACGUUGACCCGUAAUCCGGGUUGCGGACAGUGUCUGGUGGGUAGUUUGACUGGGGCGGUCUCCUCCUAAAGAGUAACGGAGGAGCACGAAGGUUGGCUAAUCCUGGUCGGACAUCAGGAGGUUAGUGCAAUGGCAUAAGCCAGCUUGACUGCGAGCGUGACGGCGCGAGCAGGUGCGAAAGCAGGUCAUAGUGAUCCGGUGGUUCUGAAUGGAAGGGCCAUCGCUCAACGGAUAAAAGGUACUCCGGGGAUAACAGGCUGAUACCGCCCAAGAGUUCAUAUCGACGGCGGUGUUUGGCACCUCGAUGUCGGCUCAUCACAUCCUGGGGCUGAAGUAGGUCCCAAGGGUAUGGCUGUUCGCCAUUUAAAGUGGUACGCGAGCUGGGUUUAGAACGUCGUGAGACAGUUCGGUCCCUAUCUGCCGUGGGCGCUGGAGAACUGAGGGGGGCUGCUCCUAGUACGAGAGGACCGGAGUGGACGCAUCACUGGUGUUCGGGUUGUCAUGCCAAUGGCACUGCCCGGUAGCUAAAUGCGGAAGAGAUAAGUGCUGAAAGCAUCUAAGCACGAAACUUGCCCCGAGAUGAGUUCUCCCUGACUCCUUGAGAGUCCUGAAGGAACGUUGAAGACGACGACGUUGAUAGGCCGGGUGUGUAAGCGCAGCGAUGCGUUGAGCUAACCGGUACUAAUGAACCGUGAGGCUUAACCUUACAACGCCGAAGCUGUU